Molecule: signal recognition particle RNA, 100 nt
Filed under: Chloroflexota bacterium
Lineage: Bacteria; Bacillati; Chloroflexota
Also listed under: 1 other name
Description: Chloroflexi bacterium (activated sludge metagenome) signal recognition particle sRNA small type
Rfam family: Bacterial small signal recognition particle RNA
About the family: The signal recognition particle (SRP) is a universally conserved ribonucleoprotein involved in the co-translational targeting of proteins to membranes.
Source: RNAcentral
GUCAGGGUCCCGCGCGGCGGAAGCUCGUGAACCGCGUCAGGUCCGGAAGGAAGCAGCGCUAAGCGGUGUCUUUCGGGUGUCGCGGGGCAACCUUGGCCGA